GAUGAACGCUGGCGGCGUGCUUAACACAUGCAAGUCGAGCGAGAAGUUUUGAAAAGAUUCUUCGGAUGAAAUUUAAAAUGGAAAGCGGCGGACGGGUGAGUAACGCGUAGGCAACCUGCCCCAUACAAAGGGAUAGCAUUUGGAAACGAAUAUUAAUACCUUAUGAAACUUAACUAGUGCAUGCUAGGUAGGUCAAAGAUUUAUCGGUAUGGGAUGGGCCUGCGUCUGAUUAGCUAGUUGGUGAGGUAACGGCUCACCAAGGCGACGAUCAGUAGCCGACCUGGGAGGGUGAACGGCCACAUGGGAACUGAGACACGGUCCAAACUCCUACGGGAGGCAGCAGUGGGGAAUAUUGCACAAUGGGGGAAACCCUGAUGCAGCAACGCCGCGUGAACGAGGAAGGCCUUUGGGUCGGAAAGUUCUGUUCUAGGUGAUGAAAACUGACAGUAACCUAGGAGAAAGCCCCGGCUAACUCCGUG
This 479-nucleotide ribosomal RNA is filed under the name uncultured bacterium. RNAcentral describes it as "partial 16S ribosomal RNA". It matches the Rfam family "Bacterial small subunit ribosomal RNA", at positions 28 to 507 of the family's 1533-position model. The record is from RNAcentral.